This 547-nucleotide long non-coding RNA is filed under the name Vigna radiata. Its description in RNAcentral is "long non-coding RNA (VRAD_LNC009013)". Lineage: Eukaryota; Viridiplantae; Streptophyta; Magnoliopsida; Fabales; Fabaceae. The record is from RNAcentral.
AAAAAAGAAGAAGAAUUAAGAAAAUAGAAACCGAAAUGGAAAACAGAGAAAUAAAGAUGGGUGCGAUGCAGAUGUGCAGCAAAAAUAAGGUUUUCAAAUUAAUUAAAUAAGUAAAAAUAAGGUUUUCAAAUUAAUUAAAAGAUCUUUAAUGGUAAAAAGUAAAAAUUAUUAAUAUUAUCGACGAAUUUACCGAAAGCUUAUGUCUGUUGGUAAAAAGAGUGGAAAUUUUCUCACCCAAAUUUCGUCUCCAGUGUCAAUAUAUGCAAACAUCACGCUCAUUUCUCCUUCUCAUAUUUCCUUACCAUCUCGGUGUUAUUCUUCUUCCCAUCAACAGUGCCACCCUUCAAUGUUUGGUCACCGGAAUUUCUUGCCACCACUACUCAUUUCUACUUCUCAUUUUUUCUUAUCAUCUCGUAGUCUCAUCACCGUUGCUCUCCACAAUCGCGGCUCGCCAUUGUUGCAACCCACCACCAUCUACUUUUCAACCUUCCGGCAAGCUCAACUUUUCUGGGGAGCUCAACUUUUCCGACAAGCUCAACAUCACGGG